CCUACGGGAGGCAGCAGUGGGGAAUUUUGGACAAUGGGCGCAAGCCUGAUCCAGCAAUGCCGCGUGAGUGAAGAAGGCCUUCGGGUUGUAAAGCUCUUUUGUCAGGGAAGAAACGGUCUACUCUAAUACAGUGGGCUAAUGACGGUACCUGAAGAAUAAGCACCGGCUAACUACGUGCCAGCAGCCGCGGUAAUACGUAGGGUGCAAGCGUUAAUCGGAAUUACUGGGCGUAAAGCGUGCGCAGGCGGUUAUAUAAGUCAGAUGUGAAAUCCCCGGGCUCAACCUGGGAACUGCAUUUGAGACUGUAUGGCUAGAGUGUGUCAGAGGGGGGUAGAAUUCCACGUGUAGCAGUGAAAUGCGUAGAUAUGUGGAGGAAUACCGAUGGCGAAGGCAGCCCCCUGGGAUAACACUGACGCUCAUGCACGAAAGCGUGGGGAGCAAACAGGAUUAGAUACCCUGGUAGUCCACGCCCUAAACGAUGUCUACUAGUUGUCGGGACUUAAUUGUCUUGGUAACGCAGCUAACGCGUGAAGUAGACCGCCUGGGGAGUACGGUCGCAAGAUUAAAACUCAAAGGAAUUGACGG
RNAcentral lists this ribosomal RNA (585 nucleotides) under uncultured bacterium. RNAcentral describes it as "bacterial SSU rRNA". It matches the Rfam family "Bacterial small subunit ribosomal RNA", at positions 338 to 916 of the family's 1533-position model. The record is from RNAcentral.